GUGGGGAAUAUUGGACAAUGGGCGAAAGCCUGAUCCAGCCAUGCCGCGUGUGUGAAGAAGGUCUUCGGAUUGUAAAGCACUUUAAGUUGGGAGGAAGGGCAGUAAGUUAAUACCUUGCUGUUUUGACGUUACCGACAGAAUAAGCACCGGCUAACUUCGUGCCAGCAGCCGCGGUAAUACGAAGGGUGCAAGCGUUAAUCGGAAUUACUGGGCGUAAAGCGCGCGUAGGUGGUUUUGUAAGUUGGAGGUGAAAUCCCCGGGCUCAACCUGGGAACUGCCUCCAAAACUGCAUGACUAGAGUACGGUAGAGGGUAGUGGAAUUUCCUGUGUAGCGGUGUAAUGCGUAGAUAUAGGAAGGAACACCAGUGGCGAAGGCGACUACCUGGACUGAUACUGACACUGAGGUGCGAAAGCGUGGGGAGCAAACAGGAUUAGAAACCCUAGUAGUCC
This 450-nucleotide ribosomal RNA is filed under the name uncultured bacterium. RNAcentral describes it as "partial 16S ribosomal RNA". It matches the Rfam family "Bacterial small subunit ribosomal RNA", at positions 354 to 796 of the family's 1533-position model. The record is from RNAcentral.